GUAUGCGUAGUUUAACCAAAAACAUCAGCCUGUGAAGCUGAAGAUAAAGCCAGGCUCUCGCACACC
This 66-nucleotide transfer RNA is filed under the name Indotyphlops braminus (Brahminy blind snake). Its description in RNAcentral is "tRNA-His". It matches the Rfam family "tRNA". From Rfam's summary of the family: Transfer RNA (tRNA) molecules are approximately 80 nucleotides in length. Their secondary structure includes four short double-helical elements and three loops (D, anti-codon, and T loops). The record is from RNAcentral. Lineage: Eukaryota; Metazoa; Chordata; Lepidosauria; Squamata; Typhlopidae.